This 425-nucleotide ribosomal RNA is filed under the name uncultured bacterium. Its description in RNAcentral is "partial 16S ribosomal RNA". It matches the Rfam family "Bacterial small subunit ribosomal RNA", at positions 354 to 796 of the family's 1533-position model. The record is from RNAcentral.
GUGGGGAAUCUUAGACAAUGGGCGCAAGCCUGAUCUAGCCAUGCCGCGUGAGCGAUGAAGGCCUUAGGGUUGUAAAGCUCUUUCGUGGGGGAAGAUAAUGACUGUACCCCAAGAAGAAGCCCCGGCUAACUCCGUGCCAGCAGCCGCGGUAAUACGGAGGGGGCUAGCGUUGUUCGGAAUUACUGGGCGUAAAGCGCACGUAGGCGGACUGGAAAGUCAGUGGUGAAAUCCCGGGGCUCAACCCCGGAACUGCCUUUGAAACUCCCAGUCUUGAGUUCGAGAGAGGUGAGUGGAAUUCCGGGUGUAGAGGUGAAAUUCGUAGAUAUUCGGAGGAACACCAGUGGCGAAGGCGGCUCACUGGCUCGAUACUGACGCUGAGGUGCGAAAGCGUGGGGAGCAAACAGGAUUAGAUACCCUAGUAGUCC